AUUGAACGCUGGCGGCAGGCUUAACACAUGCAAGUCGAGCGGGGAAAGGUAGCUUGCUACCUGACCUAGCGGCGGACGGGUGAGUAAUGCUUAGGAAUCUGCCUAUUAGUGGGGGACAACAUCUCGAAAGGGAUGCUAAUACCGCAUACGUCCUACGGGAGAAAGCAGGGGACCUUCGGGCCUUGCGCUAAUAGAUGAGCCUAAGUCGGAUUAGCUAGUUGGUGGGGUAAAGGCCUACCAAGGCGACGAUCUGUAGCGGGUCUGAGAGGAUGAUCCGCCACACUGGGACUGAGACACGGCCCAGACUCCUACGGGAGGCAGCAGUGGGGAAUAUUGGACAAUGGGGGGAACCCUGAUCCAGCCAUGCCGCGUAUGUGAAGAAGGCCUUUUGGUUGUAAAGCACUUUAAGCGAGGAGGAGGCUACCGAGAUUAAUACUCUUGGAUAGUGGACGUUACUCGCAGAAUAAGCACCGGCUAACUCUGUG
RNAcentral lists this ribosomal RNA (485 nucleotides) under uncultured bacterium. RNAcentral's name for it is "partial 16S ribosomal RNA". It matches the Rfam family "Bacterial small subunit ribosomal RNA", at positions 30 to 507 of the family's 1533-position model. The record is from RNAcentral.